RNAcentral lists this ribosomal RNA (653 nucleotides) under uncultured prokaryote. RNAcentral's name for it is "bacterial SSU rRNA". It matches the Rfam family "Bacterial small subunit ribosomal RNA", at positions 28 to 670 of the family's 1533-position model. The record is from RNAcentral.
AUUGAACGCUGGCGGCAGGCCUAACACAUGCAAGUCGAGCGGCAGCGGAAAGUAGCUUGCUACUUUGCCGGCGAGCGGCGGACGGGUGAGUAAUGUCUGGGAAACUGCCUGAUGGAGGGGGAUAACUACUGGAAACGGUGGCUAAUACCGCAUGACGUCGCAAGACCAAAGUGGGGGACCUUCGGGCCUCACGCCAUCGGAUGUGCCCAGAUGGGAUUAGCUAGUAGGUGGGGUAAUGGCUCACCUAGGCGACGAUCCCUAGCUGGUCUGAGAGGAUGACCAGCCACACUGGAACUGAGACACGGUCCAGACUCCUACGGGAGGCAGCAGUGGGGAAUAUUGCACAAUGGGCGCAAGCCUGAUGCAGCCAUGCCGCGUGUGUGAAGAAGGCCUUCGGGUUGUAAAGCACUUUCAGCGAGGAGGAAGGCAUCAUACUUAAUACGUGUGGUGAUUGACGUUACUCGCAGAAGAAGCACCGGCUAACUCCGUGCCAGCAGCCGCGGUAAUACGGAGGGUGCAAGCGUUAAUCGGAAUUACUGGGCGUAAAGCGCACGCAGGCGGUUUGAUAAGUUAGAUGUGAAAGCCCCGGGCUCAACCUGGGAAUUGCAUUUAAAACUGUCCAGCUAGAGUCUUGUAGAGGGGGGUAGAAUUNC